This 72-nucleotide transfer RNA is filed under the name Bos taurus (domestic cattle). It matches the Rfam family "tRNA". Rfam says of the family: Transfer RNA (tRNA) molecules are approximately 80 nucleotides in length. Their secondary structure includes four short double-helical elements and three loops (D, anti-codon, and T loops). The record is from Rfam by way of RNAcentral. RNAcentral also lists the same sequence under 2 other names. Lineage: Eukaryota; Metazoa; Chordata; Mammalia; Artiodactyla; Bovidae.
UCCCAGGUGGCUCAGUGGGUAAAGAAUUUGCCUGCAAUGCAAGAGACUUGGGUUCAAUCCCUGGGCUGGGAA